UAAGGAAUAUUGCUCAAUGGGAGAAAUCCUGAAGCAGCAACGCCGCGUGGAGGAUGAAGGGUCUAUGACUUGUAAACUCCUGUAAAGAAGGAAAAAAUUCCCAUUAGAUGGGAGAUGAUGGUACUUCUGGAGUAAGCCCCGGCUAACUACGUGCCAGCAGCCGCGGUAAUACGUAGGGGGCAAGCGUUGUCCGGAUUUACUGGGUGUAAAGGGUGCUCAGGCGGAUUUGUAAGUCAGAGGUGAAAUCUUACAGCUUAACUGUGAAACUGCCGUUGAUACUGCAAGGCUAGAGUAUGGAAGAGAGUGAUGGAAUAUCUGGUGUAGCAGUGAAAUGCGUAGAUAUCAGAUAGAACACCAAUGGCGAAGGCAGUCACUUGGUCCAUUACUGACGCUAAAGCACGAAAGCGUGGGUAGCAAACA
This 420-nucleotide ribosomal RNA is filed under the name uncultured bacterium. RNAcentral's name for it is "bacterial SSU rRNA". It matches the Rfam family "Bacterial small subunit ribosomal RNA", at positions 355 to 774 of the family's 1533-position model. The record is from RNAcentral.